This 517-nucleotide ribosomal RNA is filed under the name uncultured rumen archaeon. RNAcentral describes it as "bacterial SSU rRNA". It matches the Rfam family "Archaeal small subunit ribosomal RNA", at positions 133 to 650 of the family's 1478-position model. The record is from RNAcentral.
UGGGAAACUGGGGAUAAUACUGGAUAUUAGGCUAUGCCUGGAAUGGUUUGCCUUUGAAAUGUUUUUUCGCCUAAGGAUAGAUCUGCGGCUGAUUAGGUCGUUGGUGGGGUAAUGGCCCACCAAGCCGAUGAUCGGUACGGGUUGUGAGAGCAAGAGCCCGGAGAUGGAACCUGAGACAAGGUUCCAGACCCUACGGGGUGCAGCAGGCGCGAAACCUCCGCAAUGUACGAAAGUGCGACGGGGGGAUCCCAAGUGUCAUGCUUUUUUGUAUGACUUUUCAUUAGUGUAAAAAGCUUUUAGAAUAAGAGCUGGGCAAGACCGGUGCCAGCCGCCGCGGUAACACCGGCAGCUCGAGUGGUAGCUGUUUUUAUUGGGCCUAAAGCGUUCGUAGCCGGUUUGAUAAGUCUUUGGUGAAAGCUUGUAGCUUAACUAUAAGAAUUGCUGGAGAUACUAUUAGACUUGAAGUCGGGAGAGGUUAGAGGUACUACCGGGGUUAGGGUGAAAUCCUAUAAUCCUG